UACGGAGGGAGCUAGCGUUGUUCGGAUAUACUGGGCGUAAAGCGCACGUAGGCGGCGCAGCAAGUCAGGGGUGAAAUCCCGGAGCUCAACUCCGGAACUGCCCUUGAAACUGCAGUGCUAGAAUCCUGGAGAGGCGAGUGGAAUUCCGAGUGUAGAGGUGAAAUUCGUAGAUAUUCGGAAGAACACCAGUGGCGAAGGCGACUCGCUGGACAGGUAUUGACGCUGAGGUGCGAAAGCGUGGGGAGCGAACAGG
RNAcentral lists this ribosomal RNA (253 nucleotides) under uncultured bacterium. RNAcentral describes it as "partial 16S ribosomal RNA". It matches the Rfam family "Bacterial small subunit ribosomal RNA", at positions 524 to 776 of the family's 1533-position model. The record is from RNAcentral.